CUAACCUGCUAAAUAGUACAGUUGCAAUUGUUAUGUGGACCUCUGUCCUUGUGCCUCUGGUGCAGAGACGGAACCACAUAAGCAGGUGAAACUUCUUAGAGGAACUGGCGCCCGAAAAGGCGCACGAGAAAGAGCAAUAACAGGUCUGUGAUGCCCUAAGAUGUCCGGGGCCGCACGCGUGCUACAAUGACGAUGCUACUGAGCAUGAUUUACUUGUCCGAAAGGAUUGGUGAAACUGUUUAAUCAUCGUCGUGACUGGGAUUGAGGUUUGUAAUUAUCCCUCAUGAACCAGGAAUUCCUAGUAAGCACAAGUCAUAAGCUUGUGCUGAUUACGUCCCUGCCCUUUGUACACACCGCCCGUCGCUACUACCGAUUGAAUGGUUUAGCAAGGACAUUGGAUCGAGCCUUUGCGGUUCACGCUGCUUUGGUUUGAGAAGAUGUCCGAACUUGAUCAUUUAGAGGAAGUAAAAGUCGUAACAAGGUUUCCGUAGGUGAACCUGCGGAAGGAUCAUUA
RNAcentral lists this ribosomal RNA (514 nucleotides) under Dactylogyrus intermedius. RNAcentral describes it as "bacterial SSU rRNA". It matches the Rfam family "Eukaryotic small subunit ribosomal RNA", at positions 1343 to 1831 of the family's 1831-position model. The record is from RNAcentral. Lineage: Eukaryota; Metazoa; Platyhelminthes; Monogenea; Dactylogyridea; Dactylogyridae.